Exophiala spinifera is the source of this 90-nucleotide transfer RNA. It matches the Rfam family "tRNA". Rfam says of the family: Transfer RNA (tRNA) molecules are approximately 80 nucleotides in length. Their secondary structure includes four short double-helical elements and three loops (D, anti-codon, and T loops). Further hydrogen bonds mediate the characteristic L-shaped molecular structure. tRNAs have two regions of fundamental functional importance: the anti-codon, which is responsible for specific mRNA codon recognition, and the 3' end, to which the tRNAs corresponding amino acid is attached (by aminoacyl-tRNA synthetases). tRNAs cope with the degeneracy of the genetic code in two manners: having more than one tRNA (with a specific anti-codon) for a particular amino acid; and 'wobble' base-pairing, i.e. permitting non-standard base-pairing at the 3rd anti-codon position. The record is from Rfam. Lineage: Eukaryota; Fungi; Ascomycota; Eurotiomycetes; Chaetothyriales; Herpotrichiellaceae.
GCCCCUUUAGCCCAGUUGGUAGAGCGCGACACUAGUACGAUCAAGUAAACCGGUAUGUCGAGGUCAAUGGUUCGAAUCCAUUAGGGGGCA